UACGUAGGGGGCAAGCGUUGUCCGGAUUUAUUGGGCGUAAAGAGCGCGUAGGCGGUCCGAUAAGUCGGCUGUGAAAGUCAAGGGCUCAACCCUUGAAAGCCGGCCGAUACUGUCGGGCUAGAGUCCGGAAGAGGCGAGUGGAAUUCCCGGUGUAGCGGUGAAAUGCGCAGAUAUCGGGAGGAACACCAAUGGCGAAGGCAGCUUGCUGGCAUGUAUCUGACGCUAAGGCACGAAAGCGUGGGGAGCGAACAGG
RNAcentral lists this ribosomal RNA (253 nucleotides) under uncultured bacterium. Its description in RNAcentral is "partial 16S ribosomal RNA". It matches the Rfam family "Bacterial small subunit ribosomal RNA", at positions 524 to 776 of the family's 1533-position model. The record is from RNAcentral.